CAACUCAUUCUCAUCGAUAUAUCCACUGGAGUCCCUAUCCACAGUCUGAAAGCUCCUAAUCACAUUUGGAUUCGUCUCCGGUGGAAAACCAGAGGACCCACCAAAAAAUUUACCUUCCUUCCCGUGUUCUGCCAUAGAAGAAGGCGGCUGGUGGUGGUGUUGGUGGUGGAGGUGGUGCCGGAGGAGGACUUGGUGGUGGAGGUGGUGCUGGAGGAGGACUUGGUGGUGGUGGCGGAAUUGGAGGAGGUAAAGGCGGAGGAGUAGGAGGUGGUGCUGGAGGAGGACUCGGUGGUGGAGGAGGACUCGGUGGUGGUGCUGGUGGCGGAGUUGGAGGAGGUAAAGGUGGGGGAGUAGGAGGUGGUGCCGGAGGAGGACUCGGUGGUGGAGGUGGUGCUGGAGGGGGACUUGGUGGUGGCGCUGGUGGCGGAGG
RNAcentral lists this unclassified non-coding RNA (430 nucleotides) under Hevea brasiliensis (rubber tree). Lineage: Eukaryota; Viridiplantae; Streptophyta; Magnoliopsida; Malpighiales; Euphorbiaceae. The record is from RNAcentral.